Molecule: ribosomal RNA, 461 nt
Filed under: uncultured beta proteobacterium
Lineage: Bacteria; Pseudomonadati; Pseudomonadota; Betaproteobacteria
Description: bacterial SSU rRNA
Rfam family: Bacterial small subunit ribosomal RNA
Source: RNAcentral
AGGAAAGCAGGGGAUCGCAAGACCUUGCGCUUUUGGAGCGGCCGAUGUCUGAUUAGCUAGUUGGUGAGGUAAAGGCUUACCAAGGCUUCGAUCAGUAGCUGGUCUGAGAGGACGACCAGCCACACUGGGACUGAGACACGGCCCAGACUCCUACGGGAGGCAGCAGUGGGGAAUUUUGGACAAUGGGGGAAACCCUGAUCCAGCCAUGCCGCGUGAGUGAAGAAGGCCUUCGGGUUGUAAAGCUCUUUCAGCCGGAACGAAAAGGUUACGGUUAAUACCCGUGACUAAUGACGGUACCGGAAGAAGAAGCACCGGCUAACUACGUGCCAGCAGCCGCGGUAAUACGUAGGGUGCGAGCGUUAAUCGGAAUUACUGGGCGUAAAACGUGCGCAGGCGGUUUUGUAAGUCAGAUGUGAAAUCCCCGGGCUCAACCUGGGAACUGCGUUUGAAACUACAAGGCU